GAUGAACGCUGGCGGCGUGCCUAAUACAUGCAAGUCGAGCGAACAGACGAGUAGCUUUCUCCUCGGACGGUAUCGGCGGACAGGUGGGUAACACGUGGAGAACCUCCCUAUACGACUUGCAUAACUACGGGAAGCCGGAGCUACUACCGCAUAAUAUAUUGAACCUCAUGGUUCAAGAGUGAAAGACGGUUUUUCUUUCGCUUAUAGAUGGAUCCGCGCCGGAUUAGCUGGUUGGUAAGGUAACGGCUUACCAAGGCAGCGAUGCGUAGCCGACCUGAGAGGGGGGUCGGCCGCCAUGGAAGUGAGAAGCGGCCGAGAAGACUACGGGAGGAAGCAGUAGGGAAGCUUAUGCAAUGGGCGAAAGAUGGAUGGAGCAGCGACGCGGGGGGGAUGAAGGUCUUCGGAUCGUAGAGAUCUGCUAUCGGGGAAGAAGCAAGGUGUAAGUAAUUAUGCACGGGUUGACGGUAGCUGAACAGAAAGCGACGGCUAACUACGUG
This 497-nucleotide ribosomal RNA is filed under the name uncultured bacterium. RNAcentral's name for it is "partial 16S ribosomal RNA". It matches the Rfam family "Bacterial small subunit ribosomal RNA", at positions 28 to 507 of the family's 1533-position model. The record is from RNAcentral.